GGGGCAACAAACUGAUGGUGACGCCUGUAACUGUCUGGCAGUGGGCUGCCCAUAGUCAGAAAAAGUUUGUUGCGGAGAGUAGUGGGGUGGACCCGUGGCUAUUACCGGGGCAUGCCACAUGGAGUCUGCCACGAGAAGCGGAGCGGCGUCCGUUGUCGCGACUUGCCAGAGGAUAGAAGAAUCGCACGGUAUCCAUCGCAGGAAGUGGAGCAGGACCGUGGCCA
Molecule: long non-coding RNA, 224 nt
Filed under: Elaeis guineensis (African oil palm)
Lineage: Eukaryota; Viridiplantae; Streptophyta; Magnoliopsida; Arecales; Arecaceae
Description: long non-coding RNA (EGUI_LNC064002)
Source: RNAcentral